AUACGGAGGGGGCAAGCGUUAUUCGGAUUUACUGGGCGUAAAGCGCGCGUAGGCGGUCUGUUUAGUCAGGCGUGAAAUCCCUGGGCUCAACCCAGGAACUGCGUUUGAAACUGGCGGACUAGAGUUCGGGAGAGGAGAGUGGAAUUCCCAGUGUAGAGGUGAAAUUCGUAGAUAUUGGGAAGAACACCAGUGGCGAAGGCGGCUCUCUGGACCGAUACUGACGCUGAGGUGCGAAAGCGUGGGGAGCAAACAGGAUUAGAAACCCCGGUAGUCC
Molecule: ribosomal RNA, 274 nt
Filed under: uncultured bacterium
Lineage: Bacteria
Description: partial 16S ribosomal RNA
Rfam family: Bacterial small subunit ribosomal RNA
Source: RNAcentral